CACGCGCAUGUGUUGUACAAGCUCGUCAGAAGGAGGAGUGGUAAAAUUCGACUCCUUUUCUCCUUUGCACCUGUCUACCAAACCGACACGAUAAGAGAGCGGCCAAUUUAAUUUGCUUAUUCUCUCUGUGGACGGCUGUGAGCAAAAGUGCCUUCCAUGUUUCGGCAUGAUUUCCCUCCCCGUCGUCAGAAUCAGUAGCUCCCGAAAGCCAAAACCGCCAAGAGACGCGCUGAAAUCUUCACCGAGGACCAGCCGAUCAUCAUCACCAUCAGGUGUGCAACAAGGAGGCCCUGCCCAGCAGCAGUCAGCCAAGUACUUAAACCACAAAAGCAAUAUCAGAAAACAAAGACAUGACAACAAUGACCCUAAGGACACAGCUAAAAUAAUGGAGUGGCUUGGAUGGCCCAGCAAGACCCCUGACUUAAACCCAAGUGCGGAUCUCUGGAAAGAGCUGAAAAUGUCUGUCUGCCAACUUUUACCAUCCAACCUGAGAGAACUGUAAAAGAUCUGCAAGGUGGAAUGGCAGAGGAUCCCCAAAUCCAGGUACAGAGGGUGUAUGUUUGAUGACGUCCCAUGGCACUCAACGGGAGGAAGGCUGUCGCAGCAUUCGGCCCAAGGGAGGAGAAUAAGACAUACCAUCUUAUUUGCGGAGCAUUAUGAAAGUCUCUGAUUAAUCCUUCGAGGCUUGUGACACAGCGGUUGCUGUUUUGCAGAGAUUGAGGGGUUGCCACAGCGUGUCAUGUUUUUCCAUCCAAGCCUACCUCGUGCAUCUUCUUCUCUAACACCCAUUGUCCUCAUCUCCUCCCUCACAACAUCCAUCAGCCUUUUCUUUGGUCUUCCUCUCGCUAUUUUGCCUGGCAGCUCCCAUACUCAGCACCCUUUUACCAAUAUACUCACUUUCGUUUCUGAACAUGUCCAAACCAUCCAAGUCUGCUCUCUCUAAAAUUGUCUCUAAAACAUUCAACUUUGGCUGUCCCUCUAAUGUGCUCAUUUCUAAUCUUAUCCAGCCUGUUCACUCCAAGCGAGAACCUCAGCAUCUUCAUUUCUGCUACCUCCAGUUCUGCUUCCUGUUGUUUCUUCAAUGCCACCAUCUCUAAUCCAUACAACAUGGCCCUGACAGAAGUUGUAUAGUGGCCAGAAUUAAUUUGAAAUUGCUAUAUUCAGCAUCUCUCAAUAACAUACAACAUAACUGUAUAAUGAACACAGAGCCAUGUGCAUAGACAUUCUUGAUGGCAGAUGCUCAAGCCAAAAAGGUCACCCAUUCUCAAAAUUGUUCAUAUUAUCAAGAAAAAACAGUGGUAUAUAUUUAGUUUACAUAUCAAUGUCUGUUAACACACACAACACAGUCAAUAAUACAGCUGGUGAAGGGAAGCUAUAUGCAAAGGCAGUUUUUUUCAUCAAGAACAAACAGGAAAUGCAUGAGCACCACUUUGGGUCUACACUGUGUGCACGUGCCUGCCAGCAAAUACAAUUAAUGUAUCCUCCAGUUUUUACAUAUUUUGACUUUAUCAACCCUUGGGAGUGAGAACAAUGAGGACAAAGGGGCAUACUGUAGCUGGCCAACUUCUCACAAAAAAAUCUAGUCAAAGAAAACGUUGUUAUUACUACUGGGGAGAGUUUCUCCUUGAAGCUGUUUUAAUUUGCAAAGAAGCGAUUGGUAUGCUCUGAUUGCAGGAAUAAAAAAAUGUCGGCAAAGGCUUUUACAGAACUAAGUGAGUCUGUGCGUUUGCUCUCUUGAAUCCAUUCGCUGCUAUUUAAACAUUCAACCCUGCCCUCAGAUCUUAGGAGACAUGAAAAUGUUUCAAAACAUCUUGUUUUAAAACAACAAACAAAGCAUUAAAUACAAUACGUGUUAUAAAUAAGGGUUCUCCUAUUUUGAUAUUCACUGGAUCCACAGCCACAUGUUAAUUUAUAAUUAUAAUUAUAAUUCGCAGUGGUAUUUGAGCUGCACUGCAGCACACUGAUAGCUGUUUCUAAAAUCAUAAUAUUAGAAACAUGUUUCUGUAGAGAAAUAGUUCAACACACUACCGAACAUCCCCAAUCAAAACUAUUAACUUAAAAAAAGAUCUUACUUUAAUAGAGAGAUUAAAAAUUACUUGUAAUUUGUUUAUGCUAUCGCCAAAUGUUUUGUCUGGAAAGGGCACCUCAGCAAGAUGAAUGCAAUCCUUUUGCUGUGUAAAAACAUGUUUUUUCACUUUCUAUCCAAACAAUCAAUCUCAGAGAUGCUGCAUCCUCUGUGAGCUUUACCCCCUGAAAAAAAAAAACAUGAAUAUUUCAUUUCAGUUGUGCGGUCCACUCUUCCUGCCAACAUUGGCCUGCCUGUCCUUUGAUCGUUGGUCCUCCAAGACCUCCAAACACUGAUAAGCUGAUUCUGUGGAAAUAGAGAGACAACUAGAAUGAAGAACCAGCUCUACCUAUACGAGUGUACACGGUGUUUGCGUCGUCUUUUUAUCGGCGCUAAGUGGUCAGAAAAUAAUGCUCUGUAUAUGCAAAUAAUAAUUAGUGGUCUUGGAACCGGAUGCUUUAAUUAGACUGCACAUCCUCAAAGUGUUCACUCAACAAAGGAAGCACAAUUUUCAGGGUUUUCUUUUAUGACAUCAUAUAACCGUCUCCACUGAUAGCCUUAGUGGUGAAUAUCUGCAAUUUUAUAUUAGUUUUGGGUGUUCCAAUCAUGACAUGCACAGGUGAGACCCCCACUCCACCACAUCACUCAUCUGAAUUAAUUUACACUUUUGUGCACUUUACGCCUAUAAAAUGAAGAUGCAAACUCCGUGUACACAUGCACAGGCCGGCAACUACUGCUGACCUGGAGGAGAAGUUUCUGUUACUAAAUCCUGACAAAGACGUUCUUUUUAUCUUCACAAACACAACGCACAUCAUUUAAAAGACAGCUGUAAUAGGUUUCAGGAGUUAGCGUGAAUAGUUUUGCACAAUUUCAGUCAGUUAACACUUUGGUGCAUCUGCUAAAAAAAGAGAACGAACAAUGUCAGAUUGUAAUUGUAACCAAGGACACAUUAAUGAUAAAAGAAACAUUGAACUGUUGAAUCUGUUUUUGAAUUAAUAAAAAAAAGGUCAAUUUA
Molecule: RNA transcript, 3080 nt
Organism: Syngnathoides biaculeatus (alligator pipefish)
Lineage: Eukaryota; Metazoa; Chordata; Actinopteri; Syngnathiformes; Syngnathidae
Gene name: heparan sulfate glucosamine 3-O-sulfotransferase 1-like
Exons: 5
Source: RefSeq, a predicted model, not a curated record